AGUGAACGCUGGCGGUAGGCCUAACACAUGCAAGUCGAACGGCAGCACAGUAAGAGCUUGCUCUUACGGGUGGCGAGUGGCGGACGGGUGAGGAAUACAUCGGAAUCUACUUUUUCGUGGGGGAUAACGUAGGGAAACUUACGCUAAUACCGCAUACGACCUACGGGUGAAAGCAGGGGAUCUUCGGACCUUGCGCGAUUGAAUGAGCCGAUGUCGGAUUAGCUAGUUGGCGGGGUAAAGGCCCACCAAGGCGACGAUCCGUAGCUGGUCUGAGAGGAUGAUCAGCCGCACUGGAACUGAGACACGGUCCAGAGUCCUACGGGAGGCAGCAGUGGGGAAUAUUGGACAAUGGGCGCAAGCCUGAUCCAGCCAUACCGCGUGGGUGAAGAAGGCCUUCGGGUUGUAAAGCCCUUUUGUUGGGAAAGAAAAGCAGCAGGUUAAUACCCCGCUGUUCUGACGGUACCCAAAGAAUAAGCACCGGCUAACUUCGUG
RNAcentral lists this ribosomal RNA (492 nucleotides) under uncultured bacterium. Its description in RNAcentral is "partial 16S ribosomal RNA". It matches the Rfam family "Bacterial small subunit ribosomal RNA", at positions 29 to 507 of the family's 1533-position model. The record is from RNAcentral.